RNAcentral lists this ribosomal RNA (253 nucleotides) under uncultured bacterium. Its description in RNAcentral is "partial 16S ribosomal RNA". It matches the Rfam family "Bacterial small subunit ribosomal RNA", at positions 524 to 776 of the family's 1533-position model. The record is from RNAcentral.
UACGGAGGAUCCGAGCGUUAUCCGGAUUUACUGGGUUUAAAGGGUGCGUAGGCGGGCGCUUAAGUCAGCGGUGAAAUACGGGGGCUCAACCUUCGAACGGCCGUUGAUACUGGGCGCCUUGGAUUCGGUCGAGGCGGGCGGAAUGCGACAUGUAGCGGUGAAAUGCUUAGAUAUGUCGCAGAACGCCGAUUGCGAAGGCAGCUCGCCAGGCCGACAUUGACGCUGAGGCACGAAAGCGUGGGGAUCAAACAGG